GUGUUUGCUUCAGCAGCACAUUUACUAAAACUGGAACACAGAGAUUAAUAUGGCCUCCACACAAGGACGACAAAUUCUUGAAGCAUUCCAUAUAUAU
Molecule: small nuclear RNA, 97 nt
Filed under: Erinaceus europaeus (western European hedgehog)
Lineage: Eukaryota; Metazoa; Chordata; Mammalia; Eulipotyphla; Erinaceidae
Source: RNAcentral